UACGUAGGUGGCGAGCGUUGUCCGGAUUUACUGGGCGUAAAGGGAGCGUAGGCGGACUUUUAAGUGAGAUGUGAAAUACUCGGGCUCAACUUGAGUGCUGCAUUUCAAACUGGAAGUCUAGAGUGCAGGAGAGGAGAAUGGAAUUCCUAGUGUAGCGGUGAAAUGCGUAGAGAUUAGGAAGAACACCAGUGGCGAAGGCGAUUCUCUGGACUGUAACUGACGCUGAGGCUCGAAAGCGUGGGUAGCGAACAGG
This 253-nucleotide ribosomal RNA is filed under the name uncultured bacterium. RNAcentral's name for it is "partial 16S ribosomal RNA". It matches the Rfam family "Bacterial small subunit ribosomal RNA", at positions 524 to 776 of the family's 1533-position model. The record is from RNAcentral.